This is a non-coding RNA of Pelobates cultripes (western spadefoot toad), 458 nucleotides long. The record is from the annotation of a GenBank genome assembly. NCBI's taxonomy places the organism in Eukaryota, Metazoa, Chordata, Amphibia, Anura, Pelobatidae.
UCUUAAUGAAAGUUUUUAAUCUCCUCUCGUUACCACAAAGUCUAAAAAGAUUUUCCGAAUUGAAUAAUAAUUUGAUCCGUUAAUCUUUUGAAGGCAGCAAUUUUAUUUUGCCCUCUUUUAGUCUCUGAGGCUCACAAAUGAAUAGAGCUUCAUUAUAGCAGUCUGCGUUUAAUAACCAUUAUCCAUUAUCUUGUAAUUAAGACUCCCUGUAACGAAUCAUGAGGACAAUGCAGAAAUACAUAGUACAUUUCUUUAAUGAACUGGAAAAUGUUCCCCUUGUUCUAUUUAGUAAUGACUUGCUGAAUAGUCAUUAAAUCCACUGGAGAAUAGGGACGAGACUGUCUUCAGUUUGUGGUUAAUCUAUUAGAAUUAAAAUUUCAUUUUCUAUUUUUAUCAACAACUGAUUAAAAGUCAUUCUGUUUGGCCAAAUUGAUUAGAAGACCAUAUACAGGGGCAGC